Molecule: long non-coding RNA, 2606 nt
Organism: Sarcophilus harrisii (Tasmanian devil)
Lineage: Eukaryota; Metazoa; Chordata; Mammalia; Dasyuromorphia; Dasyuridae
Source: Ensembl
CCAAAACUGAGUCUGCCAGAGCAAUUCCAAGAGAAUAAGAGAUUCCAAAGCUAAAGCAUCCAAAUUGAAUCUGAACUAGUGAGAUAGUGGGUGGGGCAGAAGUGCCUAAGGCAAAGUGAAAAGGAGCUAGGGGUUCCCAUUCUUUCAGGUAUUUUGAAAAAAUAUACCAGUUUCCCCAAUGUUCUAUCUCUUCCCCCCCCCCUUUUUUUUUCUCACGGAAAGGAAUUAUCAAAUGACCAUUCCCCAUAUAAAUCCCAAGAGUGAAUCAAAAUCCCUAUACAUAAUUGACUAGUACAGUAGCAUUUCCUAAAAAGCCCUCCAACAUAACAGCAGUAAUUACACAGUUUUAACAAAUCCCAUCCCAAAUCUUAAACACACCGUGAUAGAUGAUCCAGGCAAGGUUUAACAGUCAGUCAUGAACCAUUCUCAAAGUCCCUCAUAUCAGUCCAAAGUACACUAGAUGCAGGGUCCAGUCCAUGGUCUCAUUUAAAAACUGCUGCUUCAGGCUGUGAAGUGAUAGGAGGCUCUCAUUCCAUGCAGAGUAGGUGUGCCAUGCUGACAAUCAAAGCUGAUUAAAGCUGAUAAAGAUUAGAUCAGUCUCAGAUAGAAAGACUGUUUACCAGACUGCUGCAAAAUAUGAGGAGGCCAAAAUAAAUUGCUUCCUAUAUGAAGAGAUGAGUUUGCUUUACAGGCCAGGCAAACGGCUGCAGUCUUAUAGACCCCUGUUAAUUGUCCUCUUAUCAUGUAGAAACCUUAAAGAAACAAAACACAAAUAUCCAGUAACAGAGAGAUGACCAGGAGAGGACUCCCUUCUCCCACUCCUGCCCCCUAAGAAAAAACUUCCCUCAGGUUUCCCAACCAAUGUCCUACAUGGGGAUCCUUUUCAAGAUUUAGCCCAUCAGUUUAUUUACUUUCUUCCCAAAUCUACCAAGUUUCAGACCUUCUCUUUCCUUUUUCCUCCAAAAACCUUAAGAUUCACACUAUAUAGUGAAUAGCCCAAACUUCCACAAAACCCACACAUGUCCAGCAGAGCCAGAUUUAAAGUAUAAUUUAUGUUAACAAAUAACUCAAUAUAUUUCAGAAGGUAACAAACUCUGAACCAAAUUAAUACAGCUGUUUUUAAAAGUUUUUUUUUUUUUUUUUGGCCACAUUUCUACUAACAGCUUCUAACAGCAUCUUAUCUCCAGAGCUUUUGAAUUUUAUUGCUCUUUACUCUAAUAGGCUCUGUUUCAAGGGGGAAAAAAACUUUCCUGUCUGUUUAAAAUAUCUAAAUUCCAUUUACUUACAGAAUUAGUACAUCAGGUUAAAAGUUUUAAAAUCACAAGCAUAUUUUCAAAUAACCAAUUCCCAAAUUCCUUUAUCAUUGUUCUUAAAACUUAACAAAGCUUUUACAUCAGCAAACAGACUAGGGGGCGUUUCCAAGAUCUCUGCCCCGGAGGAGAAGUUUGUUUCACCUUGAAUUCCCUUUUUCCCUUCCAGAAUCCAAAGGGGCUUCUGUGAAUUUCCACACCCUUUUAGUGCUUUUCUCUGCCUUCACAGAGAAUGCCUAGAUAUUCCAUUCAAACUUCUUUUCUUUAAAUGUUAGCAUACUGCUCUUCUAUAUAUAUUUUUUUAACUUUCCAAAUUUUCAAAUCCCUUUCAAUCAAUUUUUUUCUUUUUUAUUUCUUCCCUUCUCUCCCUUUUUCUCACAGGCUGCUACAGUCAGCCAGAGAGAGAGAGAGAGAGAGAGAGAGAGAGAGAGAGAGAGAGAGAGAGAGAAAGAGAGAGAUUUUUCAAAUUCUUGAUAUUUUCUAAGCUUGCAACACACAGGCUGAAUUCAUAGCCUAUAGAACAUAGAACACACAGUUACAACAUUAAACAUAUAACACAUACCCAGAGGAUAUUUUCCAGCAUCCCAGAAAAUACCCAUAUCAGAACUUUUAAACCUGUCGGUAUUUAUUCUGAGACACCAGCUUGGUAGCAAACACCCAGAACAGAACCAGAAUAACCAGAACCAGAACCAGAUGGUACCCCAAAAGGCACCCAGACAGACUUACUCUCCCAAAUGCCUAAUCAAUAUCAUUGCCCACUGUAGGCUUGACUGAGGCUGAAGAACUGCUUCCUUUUUCAAGUCAGCGGAGCUAAAGGCUAAAAGAUGAAGAAAAGCCAUUGAAGCUUUGGGAGGAGGGUCAUACAGAAUCCUUUUCAUUGUUAUGGGAGCCUAAUUGGGGCCUAGAAUUGGUGCACUUAAGGGCACCUUUUAAGAAAGAGGAACUGUCCUGAAUUACUUUGUUAAUAUAAAAAUCAUUAAGGCAAUCAACUCUUUUUCACCUUUUCUCAUCAAUGGUUCCUUCCUGCGGGAACCAUGGGCAGACAUCUUCUAAAAACUUAAAAAUUUUACAAGUUCUUUUUUCUUAACCUUUACUCUACGCGUCCUUAAUGAGUCUUUGAGACCCUCAAUAAAUCUAUCAUAUACACUAAUUUCUUCUCUCUCUUGGUAUCGAAGCCUCUUACCACCCAGGUCUCUGUUCCUCGGGGCAGGCGGACCCGUAGCGACCUUAUUCUCUAAAUUCUCCGGGACUGUGCAGUCUUUUUGUUGAGAGGUUCGAUCUAGCAAUGGCUACUCC